ACGCUCCUACGGGAGGCAGCAGUGAGGAAUAUUGGUCAAUGGGCUUACGCCUGAACCAGCCCUGUCGCGUGAGGGAAGACUGCCCUAUGGGUUGUAAACCUCUUUUGUCAGGGAGCAAUUGGCGCUACGUGUAGCGUUAUCGAGAGUACCUGAAGAAAAAGCAUCGGCUAACUCCGUGCCAGCAGCCGCGGUAUUACGGAGGAUGCGAGCGAUAUCCGGAUUUAUUGGGUUUAAAGGGUGCGUAGGCGGAAUGCCAAGUCAGCGGUAAAAUCGCGGGG
This 278-nucleotide ribosomal RNA is filed under the name uncultured bacterium. RNAcentral describes it as "partial 16S ribosomal RNA". It matches the Rfam family "Bacterial small subunit ribosomal RNA", at positions 333 to 607 of the family's 1533-position model. The record is from RNAcentral.